RNAcentral lists this ribosomal RNA (596 nucleotides) under Trichophyton erinacei. Its description in RNAcentral is "eukaryotic LSU rRNA". It matches the Rfam family "Eukaryotic large subunit ribosomal RNA", at positions 40 to 648 of the family's 3401-position model. The record is from RNAcentral. Lineage: Eukaryota; Fungi; Ascomycota; Eurotiomycetes; Onygenales; Arthrodermataceae.
AUAUCAAUAAGCGGAGGAAAAGAAACCAACAGGGAUUGCCCCAGUAACGGCGAGUGAAGCGGCAAGAGCUCAAAUUUGAAAUCUGGCCUCCUCCGGGGGUCCGAGUUGUAAUUUGCAGAGGAUGCUUCGGGUGCGGCCCCCGUCUAAGUUCCUUGGAACAGGACGUCAGAGAGGGUGAGAAUCCCGUUUUGGGCGGGCGGCCCGCGCCCGUGUGAAGCUCCUUCGACGAGUCGAGUUGUUUGGGAAUGCAGCUCUAAGCGGGUGGUAAAUUUCAUCUAAAGCUAAAUACUGGCCGGAGACCGAUAGCGCACAAGUAGAGUGAUCGAAAGGUUAAAAGCACCUUGAAAAGGGAGUUAAACAGCACGUGAAAUUGUUGAAAGGGAAGCGCUUGCGGCCAGACUCGGGGGCGGGGUUCAGCGGGCGCUCGUCGCCCGUGCACUCCCCGCGCCCCGGGCCAGCAUCAGUUUCGACGGCCGGUCAAAGGCCCCCGGAAUGUGUCGUCUCUAGGGACGUCUUAUAGCCGGGGGUGCAAUGCGGCCCGUCGGGACUGAGGAACGCGCUCCGGCUCGGAUGCUGGCGUAAUGGCCGUAAGCGGC